This is a long non-coding RNA of Anas platyrhynchos (mallard), 786 nucleotides long. RefSeq lists it as uncharacterized. The record is from RefSeq and is a predicted model, not a curated record. Lineage: Eukaryota; Metazoa; Chordata; Aves; Anseriformes; Anatidae.
UGAGACAAAAUUACAUGGGGCACCAUCUUGGAGUGAAGAUCCUUCCAUUCCUGCUCCAGGGCCUGUUAAUACAAUUAUUAUCCUUACAGCGAAAUGAAGACAGAUAUGGGACCAGGAAGAAAGCUGAACCACCCUCAGCUAAUUCUUCUGUUGGAGUACUGUAAAGAUGCAGAAAGUUUUCCUCCACUGAGAAAAUGUUUUCAGGAUCCUGCCAUUAUUAUCUACAAUGAGUCAUAGAAAAAAAGCUUGUCUUACCCAUGCUUCAUAACAACUUUAAUGCUGAAGAAGGGACUUGUUGAAAAUACCUAAUUAAAGGGAGCAGAAAAGGGCAAUGAAUGAAUUAUCCCUGUAGUUUUAUGAAGUCAAAAAAUAAUCAGUUCCAAAUUGGGAGGUUCUCUUUUGUAUAAUUUGAUAAUUGUAGUGGCAACUUACAUGAGCUUGCCCCUGGCAUCAACUUUGUCUGCUGUUUUAUUACUUAUACUUUAUCAUUGUCUUUUUCUUUCUAUACUAAACAGUCAGGGACAUAUCUUAUUUUGGAAGAUGUUCAGCAUAAGCUGAUAAGAGGAAAGCACAGAAGUUUUCAGAAAUAAUGAAUAGAGAAUAUAGAGUAUUUAUGCACUGUAGCAUCUUUAUGGUGUCUGAAUGAUGGUUUCAAGCUCUUCACUUUUAUUGUUGUUGUUGUUGUUAUGGUUUUACUAAACUACUCAGCCCAAAUGACAAAAAAUAACUCCAGAAAAGCUGUUCUGUUCUGUUUACGUGUGUAUAAAUACACAUGUAAAAAAUUAA